Plasmodium falciparum Dd2 is the source of this 2151-nucleotide ribosomal RNA. It matches the Rfam family "Eukaryotic small subunit ribosomal RNA". The record is from Rfam. Lineage: Eukaryota; Apicomplexa; Aconoidasida; Haemosporida; Plasmodiidae.
AACCUGGUUGAUCUUGCCAGUAGUCAUAUGCUUGUCUCACAGAUUAAGCCAUGCAAGUGAAAGUACAUAUGUAAGUAAUAUAUUGAAACUGCGAACGGCUCAUUAAAACAGUUAUAAUCUACUUGAUGUUUUUAAUAUAAGGAUAACUACGGAAAAUCUGUAGCUAAUACUUGUGAAAAUACCUUUUGAUAUAUACAUAUGUAUGUAUCAUUAAGGUAUGUAUUUGUUAGAUAUAAGAAUAAAAUAAAUAUAAUUGAAUUAUAACAAAGAAGAAACACAUAAAAUAUGUGUAUUAUCAAUCGAGUAUCUGACCUAUCAGCUUUUGAUGUUAGGGUAUUGACCUAACAUGGCUAUGACGGGUAACGGGGAAUUAGAGUUCGAUUCCGGAGAGGGAGCCUGAGAAAUAGCUACCACAUCUAAGGAAGGCAGCAGGCGCGUAAAUUACCCAAUUCUAAAAAAGAGAGGUAGUGACAAGAAAUAACAAUACAAUAUCGAAAAAUGAUUUUGUAAUUGGAAUGAUAGGAAUUUACAAGGUUCCUAGAGAAACAAUUGGAGGGCAAGUCUGGUGCCAGCAGCCGCGGUAAUUCCAGCUCCAAUAGCAUAUAUUAAAAUUGUUGCAGUUAAAACGUUCGUAGUUGAAUAUUAAAGAAUCCGAUGUUUCAUUUAAACUGGUUUGGGAAAACCAAAUAUAUUAUAUAUUUUGCUUUGUUCAAAAUAAGGUUUUCUAAUAAAUUAUGUUUUUAUCAGAUAUGACAGAAUCUUUUUUAAAAUCUCUUCAAUAUGCUUUUAUUGCUUUUGAGAGGUUUUGUUACUUUGAGUAAAAUUAAGUGUUCAUAACAGACGGGUAGUCAUGAUUGAGUUCAUUGUGUUUGAAUACUACAGCAUGGAAUAACAAAUAUGAAUAAGCUAAUUAUUUUUUUUUUUCAUAAUUUUUUUUGAUAUUCUUAUUAGCUUAGUUACGAUUAAUAGGAGUAGCUUUGGGGGCAUUCGUAUUCAGAUGUCAGAGGUGAAAUUCUAAGAUUUUCUGGAGACGGACUACUGCGAAAGCAUUUGCCUAAUCUAUUUCCAUUAAUCAAGAACGAAAGUUAAGGGAGUGAAGACGAUCAGAUACCGUCGUAAUCUUAACCAUAAACUAUACCGACUAGGUGUUGGAUGAAUAUAAAAAAUAUAUAAAUAUGUAGCAUUUCUUAGGGAAUGUUGAUUUUAUAUUAGAAUUGCUUCCUUCAGUACCUUAUGAGAAAUCAAAGUCUUUGGGUUCUGGGGCGAGUAUUCGCGCAAGCGAGAAAGUUAAAAGAAUUGACGGAAGGGCACCACCAGGCGUGGAGCUUGCGGCUUAAUUUGACUCAACACGGGAAAACUCACUAGUUUAAGACAAGAGUAGGAUUGACAGAUUAAUAGCUCUUUCUUGAUUUCUUGGAUGGUGAUGCAUGGCCGUUUUUAGUUCGUGAAUAUGAUUUGUCUGGUUAAUUCCGAUAACGAACGAGAUCUUAACCUGCUAAUUAGCGGUAAGUACACUAUAUUUUUAUUUGAAAUUGAAUAUAGGUAAUUAUACAUGUUUAUUCAGUGUUCAAAUUAGGAUAUUUUUUUUAUUAAAAUAUUCUUUUCCCUGUUCUACUAUAAUAAUUUGUUUUUUUUUACUCUAUUUCUCUCUUCUUUUAAGAAUGUACUUGUUUGAUUAAAUAAAGCUUCUUAGAGGAACAGUGUGUAUCUAACACAAGGAAGUUUAAGGCAACAACAGGUCUGUGAUGUCCUUAGAUAAACUAGGCUGCACGCGUGCUACAAUGAUAUAUAUAACAAGUUGUUAAAAAUGUACUUAUAAAUAAGUGUGUACAGUUUUUCCUGUACUGAAAAGUAUAGGUAAUCUUUAUCAGUAUAUAUCGUAAUUGGGAUAGAUUAUUGCAAUUAUUAAUCUUGAACGAGGAAUGCCUAGUAAGCAUGAUUCAUUAGAUUGUGCUGACUACGUCCCUGCCCUUUGUACACACCGCCCGUCGCUCCUACCGAUUGAAAGAUAUGAUAAAUUGUUUGGAUAUGAAUUAAAAUAAUGAAAUUUUAUAUUUCUGAUUUUUUCUAGAAGAACUGUAAAUCCUAUCUUUUAAAGGAAGGAGAAGUCGUAACAAGGUUUCCGUAGGUGAACCUGCGGAAGGAUCAUUA